CCCCUAGUAACGGCGAGUGAAGAGGGAAAAGCCCAGCACCGAAGCCUGCGGUAGUUUUACUGCUAGGCAAUGUGGUGUUUGGGUCGGCUGGCGGGACUGCCACUCCAUUCGAAGUCCAGCAUUGAGUAUGGUACCCUGGAUUUGGCCCAUAGAGGGUGAAAGGCCCGUACGAAUGGAUGUUUCAGACAUGAAAGGCAGUUCAUCAGGCCGACCUUCGAGUCGGGUUGUUUGAGAAUGCAGCCCAAAGCGGGUGGUAAACUCCAUCCAAGGCUAAAUACCAACACGAGUCCGAUAGCGAACAAGUACCGUGAGGGAAAGUUGAAAAGUACUCUGAAGAGAGAGUAAACAGUACGUGAAACCGUAUAAAGGUAAACGGGUGGCGUCAAGCUGCAAGCCUGGAGGAUUCAGCUGGUCAUCAUGUAGUGUAUACGUCCUGUGUAUUUCAGUCGGUAAUAGGCGAGUAGUCCACUGGGUAACGGUGGGCCCGACCGCAAGGUUGGGAUGUAUGUGCCACACGGUUGGUGGUGUACGCUGCUCAACUAUUGGACUGGAUGGCCAGUGCACUUCCUCCGUUAAGGUGAACACCACGACCGGUGGAACUGCCAGUCUGGUAUGGUCAAGUUGUGUCCAAUUGUGCUUUCGGGUGCAUUGGAUGCAAUCACAGGCAAAUUCGGUGGACGGUGAGUAGGUUUCGGCUUGCUCAUGUUAUCGGUCAUCGGUUGUCAACGGGUCUGUCUGUCAGCGUUUGCAGUAUCUGGCGGAUGAUCUGGUGGACCAUACUGGUAAGAAUAACUGUGCAGGGCACCGGAGUUAUCGGUCUCAAAUUCCGACUGGCGCAUGCGCUGCAAGUGUGUGUGGAGAUGUCAUUGCGGCCUGUCGUUGGCUAGGUCUGAUUGUCGUGUUGCCUGCGCAAAGUGGGUCCGACAGUGGCUUGGCUACGGUUGGUGCAUGCAGUGGCAUUUCUUUGUCAGUUGGUGUGGGCCGCAUAGUCUGUGGUGUAGUGGUAGAUUAGCUACCCGACCCGUCUUGAAACACGGACCAAGGAGUUCAACAUGCACGCGAGUCAAUGGGCACUUCCGAAACCCAAAGGCGCAGUGAAAGUGAAGCUACACGUUGUCUUCGGGCAGCGGGUAGUGUGGUGAGAUCCUGCUGUUACUCGCAUCUGCACUUCUGUGUACUUGUUGGCACAGGGCGCAAAGAGCGGUAGGCGCAUCACCGGCCCGUCUCAUGAUGUGGUCAUUGGUAACCAUUCCAGUGCGUCAUCGUGGCGGAGCAUGAGCGUGCAUGUUGAGACCCGAAAGAUGGUGAACUAUGCUUGCGUAGGUUGAAGCCAGAGGAAACUCUGGUGGAAGACCGCAGCGAUUCUGACGUGCAAAUCGAUCGUCAAACGUGAGUAUAGGGGCGAAAGACUAAU
This 1414-nucleotide ribosomal RNA is filed under the name Rhinoptericola mozambiquensis. RNAcentral's name for it is "partial large subunit ribosomal RNA". It matches the Rfam family "Eukaryotic large subunit ribosomal RNA", at positions 77 to 935 of the family's 3401-position model. The record is from RNAcentral. Lineage: Eukaryota; Metazoa; Platyhelminthes; Cestoda; Trypanorhyncha; Rhinoptericolidae.